UCUGUCAACGGCUCGUUCGCGAGUCGCGUCGCAUUCCAUAUUCCCGAAAAUUAAAAAUGACUCGGGCGAUAAUGGGUGGUCGACACUGAUGGCCCCGAAAUUGAACAACGAUACGUUUCGCGGCUAGUGAAUCGGCAACGCAUUUAUACCGGGACCCGUCAGCGCGUUCAGUAGCUUGGCGAGUAGCCAGAAACCGCGGACGUCACUCCUGAUAAUUGUCGUCGUUUCCAUUCGGUCGAGUUUUAUCAGUAAGAAAAUGAAGCAAGCAUGGUCCUUCAUUUCAUCUUCAAUGCCUACUUUUUCAGCUACGAGUAGGAUCCCAACUAACAGGAUAGAAAUAAUUGAAGAUCGUGAGAAAUAUAUGGAUAUAGUGGGUUAAAAUAUUGACAAAUCCUCCCUUAGAAAUGAAUAACAGAACGAUAAAGAAGUCGAAGUUGACGUCAUUACUCCCUCUGGCUAACGAACGGACUAUACAACGUGGAAAAACGUCGGGUUUCAAGCGGAACGAGUCGCGUCAAAGCCGGCGCAAAUAAAAUAAUGGCCGUUUUAAAUGGGACGAGACGUAGCGACGUGGUUUUCACACGGGACGCACGUGUGGUCCGUGGCACAGACUCUCUCACUCGGGAGGGCGACGAGUGACGAAUUGCCAUAGUCGGAACGCACCUCGGAUGCCACCGCGGGCAAAACAUGACACAUUUCACAACAUCAAUGUUUUCGGAAGCCACUAACGAGCUUCGAAGUCGACGUUAUUCGGGGGCGCCCCUCGCCCCACCCCACGUUCGAGGAUAAUUUACGACCGCUCGCGAAUACGACGAAUAUUUCCUCUCGCUCUCUGUAGGUUCGAAACUUACCUAAACUUAUUAUUUUCGACUAGCUGACCCGGCGCACUCCGUACUGUCUCAAUCGAUAAAUAAAAGACCUAGAAUUUUGUAUAAAAUAAUCAUUAAGCAUUAAAGUGCCAUCCUCACAAAAUAUCAAAAAAAGGGCACAUUACUACCUACCACAAAGGAUCGCCGCAGUAAAGAAA
This is a long non-coding RNA of Cylas formicarius (sweet potato weevil), 1027 nucleotides long. RefSeq lists it as uncharacterized. The transcript is spliced from 3 exons. NCBI's taxonomy places the organism in Eukaryota, Metazoa, Arthropoda, Insecta, Coleoptera, Brentidae. The record is from RefSeq and is a predicted model, not a curated record.